Molecule: ribosomal RNA, 493 nt
Filed under: uncultured bacterium
Lineage: Bacteria
Description: partial 16S ribosomal RNA
Rfam family: Bacterial small subunit ribosomal RNA
Source: RNAcentral
GACGAACGCUGGCGGCGUGCCUAACACAUGCAAGUUGAGCGACGAACCAGGGCUUGCCCUGGGGCAAAGCAGCGAACGGGUGAGUAACACGUGGGUAACCUACCCCGAUAACCGGGACAACCCGAGGAAACUCGGGCUAAUACCGGAUGUGCUCACUGGACUUCGGUUCAGUGCGUAAAGGAAGCUUCGGCCUCCGUAUCGGGAGGGGCCCGCGGCCCAUUAGUUUGUUGGUAAGGUAACGGCUCACCAAGACCGCGAUGGGUAGCUGGUCUGAGAGGACGAUCAGCCACACUGGGACUGAGACACGGCCCAGACUCCUACGGGAGGCAGCAGUGGGGAAUCUUGCGCAAUGCGCGAAAGCGUGACGCAGCAACGCCGCGUGGGGGAAGAAGGCCUUCGGGUUGUAAACCCCUUUCAGGAGGGACGAAGGUUCGGCGGUGAAUAGCCGUCCGGACUGACGGCACCUCCACAAGAAGCCCCGGCUAACUACGUG